ACGGGGUUUCACUGUGUUAGCCAGGAUGGUCUCGAUCUCCUGACCUCAUGAUCUGCCUGCCUCUGCCUCCCAAAGUGCUGGGAUUACAGCCGUGAGCCACCGCGCCCUGCCUCCGUCACUUUCUUCAGGGGAAAGAGCAUCCAUAUAGCAUCCUUGGGAAGAGCGUUCAUGGGAAGCCACUGAAGAAUUUCUCAUCAAAUUCAAGACUACAUAUUUCUCAUGACCAUUCUGAAAGGGAAAGGAGAGUGGUAAGGAUGGAUCUUGUAGUCUUCUAGUUUUCAGUUGAAAUUAAAUAACCCAACCAAGAUGAUUGUUUUUUUUUUUUUUGCUGUCAGCCUUAUCAGCCAUUAUUGCAGGUCAACCCCUGACGAGUUGUGCAGGGUGAGGGUAGCAUCGAACUAGAGUUCUGGCUGUUGCUUUGCGUUUUGUGUGUGUUUGCAUGUGUUCUCUGUAAAGUGAGCAGAGGAUCCUUCAGAAAGGGAGCAGAUUCCAAGGGUAAGAAGGGAUUUCACUUAUA
Molecule: non-coding RNA, 517 nt
Organism: Macaca mulatta (Rhesus monkey)
Lineage: Eukaryota; Metazoa; Chordata; Mammalia; Primates; Cercopithecidae
Source: RefSeq, a predicted model, not a curated record